Molecule: long non-coding RNA, 1725 nt
Organism: Alligator mississippiensis (American alligator)
Lineage: Eukaryota; Metazoa; Chordata; Crocodylia; Alligatoridae
Exons: 5
Source: RefSeq, a predicted model, not a curated record
CGGCUGGCAGGUGCCUCAUGAGGGCAGCCAUUUUAGAUUCAGGGCUGCCCAUAUAAACAGGGCAUUUUGCUGCAGGGAGGCCAGGCAACAACAUUGCCUGGCUGCAGGUAUUAUCUGGAGCGGCUCGAGCUGCAGGCAACAGCCUCAUCGACCUUCUCCCAGAACCGGCUGCCAGCUCUGCGGAGGAUCCCCACCCACGAGAACCUCAAGUUCACAACUGAAGGAGCCACGCUGUAGGCUGCAACUUAAGAGCAAAACUGGGGUCAGUCUGUAAGCAAUGUCAUGCCUCAGACCAUUCCUGAAAUGUACAGCUCAGCAGGUGGAUGCACGUAUGGGGCAUUUAUGACAAUAACAUUCACAAGGAUGGAAAAACUACAAUUGUGGACUUCAAGCACCAUAUGUUCUCCCUUCACACCUGCACAUGGAAAGAAGCAGGUCCUAUAGUUCCAGUUUACCGAUGGUCACUGCUCUAGAGCUGGGCAAAAGAAGAGAUUCAAGGUGAUAUUAACAUCAACAUGUAGAUUUUGGAUUGGCCUCCUCAGUCAUCUAUGGAUUUAUUGAUGAUUUUCAUAUUUACUGGAAGACUGGGAUUGCCAUGUUGAGGAACUGCCAGUGGCGAUGGCAUGCUUGAAAUUCCAUCUCUGUUAAAGCCUCUGGGACCUUGGCCAUUGAUUUUAAUAAAUUUAGGAGUUCACUGAUAGUCUUUAUUACAGAGUGUGAAUUAGGUAGCUCUGAGGCACAGAGGUACUACAGCUCUUCAGUGAAAAGGUUGUAAGAAUUGUUUCCCAUAUGGAAAAACAAGUGUCUUUUUCUCUAAUUUCAUUCUUGGAAAUGACUGAAUCAUUUUAGCUGAACCUUUCCAAAAUAAUUCAGUCUUAGGCAAUCAUCCAUCAUGGAACAUUUCAGCCCAUAUGUUUAAAGUUUGGCAAAUAAUAAGGAACUGAAAAUAAGUCUUACAAUAGGAAAUGCCAGGCAGUUUUAACUACAGGCAACCCCUACCUGCUCUACCUAUAAUAUUCCUGUACAUAAGUGAAUGUAAAUAGGCAUUUGUUCUUUAUAUCUGGUGUUCCCUGAAUCACAUGCUUGCAUGGAGGUGGAAACUAUUUCAAUUUUGAAGCUUUUGCAGUUCCUUAAUUGGUGAAACAGAUUUUGGUUCUCUCAGUUAGUUCAUUCUGGUCUCUGGAACAGCCAGCUCUUAGGAAUAUGAAUGUAAAUAUACAUGGUUGGAAUGACAGAAGAAAUAGACACUUUUGCUUGACAACAGCCCAAGACAAAUCUCUAGAUCCUGAUAUAUAAUCACCACACUAACUACUAGACCAAACUCCCUUUCCUCUCAAUGCCUAAAUUAAACAUAAUUGGUUCUUUCACAUGGAACCAGUGAGCAGAUACUGCCAUGAGAACCCUUUUUUUUUCUAGGAUACACUCUAGAGCCAAUACCAAUCCUUACUUAUAAUAAUAAAAGCUUCACUUUCUUAUAUGAAAGUUUAUUAACCUAUUAACUUUAUGGAGGAAAGAGUUAUAUCCAGUUUGUAUUUUGUUUAACUUUCCCCUUUAGAUGCAAGACCCAUUUGUUUAACUCUGUCUUAUUUAGUAAAGCAUCAUGUUUUCACACAACUCGCCGUUUCUUCUUCAGACUUAGUUGUUUGCCCCCUGUAAAAUACUUUUGUUUAAUCAUCACCUACUUGCAAACAGUAAUGAUGAUAUAGUUAUCUGUAUUAUGCCAAA